CCAAAAUGAACUUUUCUUCUAUACAUGAACACGCAUCAAGUUCUAAUAAGUUGUGACAAACAUGUGAAAGUGGAUCAUUACAUCAUUUCUUUUGUACCAAACAAAAGUAACCGUGCAGACUUAUUAUUCUUACAUUGAGACAUCAAGACUUGAUAAAAAACACAUAGAUGCACAAAUAGGGCCAGGGCAGGAGAAACAACAGUCGGUCCGGAGACCACCAUAAGAACUGCAGAUGUCCAGAAAAAUCACAGAUUCUCGACUUACUAUUCUUGCUAUCAACAAAUUUAUUUGACUUGGCAAGAACCUUGACCUGGGCCUGUACUAUAUUUAGGUCAUGCAAAACGAUGUUAAAAUGAACCUCCCUAGUCCCUACGAAUCCUAUGCAGAAAGUGGACAGAAAUACACCAGGUAUAAUUGGAACAAAAUACUGGCGUGGAGAUCUAUACUCAAUAUAGGCAUCAGAUUGGUAUUGCAAAAAAUACGCAUGACUUUACCGUUGUGAAACAAGAUUACUUGGAAAUAUUUUGGUGUAUUUUGCCGUAUAAUUGUGUCGGGAAUUCGGAUUAUUUCCGAACAUGGGUGAACUAUCUACCCACGCGAUGGGAUUCUGGACUAUGCCAGCAGUAAUGAAGUACCAACGAAAAGGAAGAAAUUUGUACCAACUAUGCCUCAAAUGAAAUUGUAAUCGAAUUCCCUCUUCAGAUGGAGUCCACAUAACCUGCAAAAAAAGAUCAAGAAACCCAAUGAAAUCCUUCCAGAUCAAAUCACAAAACUGAAGCAGGAAGAAGAUAUGUGGCCCAUCAUGACAUACUAGGUGCAGAAACAAGAAAAAUCAUAAAGAAUAUAUAGUACAUCGUUGCCCAAUUGCUGUACCAAGAAUCACCUCAAUUCAUGUCUGCAGAUCGCCACUCCACAAUUUACCAGUUAACCGAGCAUAGGGAAUCAGAAUAUAAUCAACAUCAUAUAGAAUACAAGGAAAAAGACGGCAAAUAGCUCGAUGGGCAGAUCGGUGCAGCAGGAAACAAUCGGGGGAAGAAGCAACUAAUUGGAGAGGAUUAGAGAGGAAGGCGCAUAUUGCUGCUUGUUCACCUGUUGUGCUUCUGAUAACAGCGGAAAACAUGUAGGAACAAAGCGGACAAAGCGUAGGUUGCAUCAGAAGCAGCCUCCGGACAGAAGAAAGGCUGCAGCCGGCCAGCCUGAAGCCCCAUAGAGCCACC
This 1217-nucleotide long non-coding RNA is filed under the name Triticum aestivum (bread wheat). RNAcentral describes it as "long non-coding RNA (TAES_LNC001805)". Lineage: Eukaryota; Viridiplantae; Streptophyta; Magnoliopsida; Poales; Poaceae. The record is from RNAcentral.